Molecule: long non-coding RNA, 2230 nt
Organism: Homo sapiens (human)
Lineage: Eukaryota; Metazoa; Chordata; Mammalia; Primates; Hominidae
Exons: 3
Source: RefSeq, a predicted model, not a curated record
ACCAGUCAGCGUAUGAAAUAAAGUCCAAUCAGAGAAGGCCUAGAGGUUUUCUCUCAUCCAAUCAGAACAUGUAGUUCAGAAUCCUUGUGCAUAACCCCAUGUGCAUGCUGAGGAGGCCUCACGCCAUCCUAGGCUUUCCUAAAUCGGCCGGCGGAGCUACUCUGUUCCUAGCUUAGCAGAUCAAGAGAAGGGGGAGCUGGAUGCUGGAGCCUGCAACACUGUGGCUCGCCUCGCUACAGUUGGCAGUGGUGACAGAGACAGCAGGCAGCACGGCCAGAGCGGUAGAAGGGAGGAUGGCAGCGGGAGCUGCUCUUGACUGGCUAGCGGUCUAGAAGAAGGGGGGCCCCCUGCUCCACGCUGGAGGCUGGAGCCUUGGCCACCGAGGCUCCUCUGGCUGCGGUUGGUGGUGGCGACCGAGACUGCAGGGAGUGUUGGGCACUGUGGUGUCUCCAGUCCCCACCCCAGGUCAGGAGGCCAGCUUGGGCCAGGAGGAGAGGCUGGACUUUGGCAGGUUUUUCUGGCUUUUCCUCUCCAGCUGUUCCAAGCCAGGCUGGUGAAGUAGGAGUCACCUGUGGUGAGCUGGAGGUUGGAGCCUGUAGAUGGCGUGGCUCUGUGGCUCACUUCCUGUGGUUGUGGCAGUGACAGCGAUGGAGACUGCAGCUCGACAGGAAUGGUAGGAGGGUGCCCGUGGAGGCCAGGUGGAAGGAGCCCUGGAGGGUGGGUGGGUGCAUGGAAGGUGACAGAAGCACUGGUUGUGUUGGCAUCGGCGGUAAUAGUGGUAACAGCAGCAAGUCUGGGGGCCGGGAAGGGGGAGUAGGAGAGCUUUGGGGCCUGGCCUGGCCUGGGGUGUGUAGGAAGCUGCUGGUUCUGUACUGCAGGCCUCAGUGACAGUGGUGGAGGUGCAGCCAGGGCAAGGAGGAGUCCUCCCCUUUCUUCUGCAGUUUCUGGAGGGUGUCCUCCUCCUGCUGGUGCCUGAGCCAGGAGUGAGUGGCAGCAUUGUCUCAUUCUUAACAGAAUUUAGGGGGUGACUAGUUGUGUGUCUUUUUGCUUGUGUUUGUUUUGAUAACUUAUCCCUUAAGGAACAAAAGGCUUCUUUGGCUGGGUUUUGGUGUGGUGGGAUCCCCUUCCCAUGCAAGAUAAAGGGUGCUUUCCUGGGAAGGUGUGUGUUGGAGGGAGUUCAUCAAGGAGAAGAAAGGGAACCUCCCAGGAGGGUGGCUGCUGUGGCAGAUCCCCUACCUCUGGGCAGCCUCUGGGCCACCUAGUUUCUCCUGUGGAAGAAGGGAGGCUUAGACCUGUGUCACCUGUAUCAUCAAAGAGGCAUCCUGGCUGGGCCUCCUGUGGAAGAAGGGAGGCUUAGACCUGUGUCACCUGUAUCAUCAAAGAGGCAUCCUGGCUGGGCCUCCUGUGGAAGAAGGGAGGCUUAGACCUGUGUCACCUGUAUCAUCAAAGAGGCAUCCUGGCUGGGCCUCCUGUGGAAGAAGGGAGGCUUAGACCUGUGUCACCUGUAUCAUCAAAGAGGCAUCCUGGCUGGGCCUCCUGUGGAAGAAGGGAGGCUUAGACCUGUGUCACCUGUAUCAUCAAAGAGGCAUCCUGGCUGGGCCUCCUGUGGAAGAAGGGAGGCUUAGACCUGUGUCACCUGUAUCAUCAAAGAGGCAUCCUGGCUGGGCCUCCUGUGGAAGAAGGGAGGCUUAGACCUGUGUCACCUGUAUCAUCAAAGAGGCAUCCUCCUGGGCCAGUCGAUUUGGCCUUCCCACUUCUUCAGCCCACCUGCCCAUGGUGUCACCUGGGGGAAGUGGAUCCUCACACCACAGGGGCAGAGGCUUCUCCGGCAGGCUGGUUGCUGAAAGGGGUUCUGUCCUGCCUGCUGCUCAGGAGGGAUUCUAUGGCCAGGAACUGAUGCUGGGACUCUCCUGUUCAUGUCCUGCUGCCUCUGUGUUGUCUCUGGGUUCUCAGGGACUCUCAGAUCUGUGAAGACAAAAAGGUUUCCUGGCUAGUUUGCGUGGUGUGGCUGGGGUCACUUUUGCUACAUGCCCCUCAGGCACCCCAGUGCCUCUGGGGAAAAAGGGAAUUUUAGAUUUACUAGAGAAAGAAUGUGUCUAUGUUGGCUGCUUAUUGUUAGCAAACUUCUGAACAGUUCUACUCUAAGAUCAUGGCAGAAUGGUUGCCUCUUGUUGGAUAGACUCCCGCUCCACUGGGGAAGAAACGAGCUUACCUGGACUGUGUUUCUUGC